GUCAGCUUCCUCGGGGAAAGUCAUGCCGUACAGUAUCUCGAUUGAGUUUCUUUAUAUAGCAGAUAAUUUCAGAUAAUUUCACUCUGCUUGUUGUUGGGUGUGGAGUAAAUAUCGAAAACAAAGCUGUAACACUGGGGGUGGAGUUCCUCUUGAACUACUGAGGGAUCAAAACCAACUUUCAAGACCUCCAUCGCCUUGGGCUGACGUUAUAAAUAUCCCUGUUGGUUGCUAGGAAGGAAUUGGAAGAGAGCGGUGGAUGUAUCUUCACAGCUGAAGGACAACAGCUUCUGCACAUGGCCUUGGUACUCGUCUCUCGUGUAAAGCCCCUUGCCGAUAUCUGCCUGAUGUUUGCACCUAUUUGUGGGAAGGCAGUGUUUAUAGAAUGCAAAACUGUGUGAUUUUAUCUUCCAUCUCGGCUCCUCCUGUGUCACAAACAACAAACGAAGCACGCCCAUGAUGUUGCUGAACUUAUGAUCUCUUUGGGAAUUUUAAAUCCCUCUGAGUGGGCUCUGGGUCCAUUCCAGGCAAGACCACUUCUGUAUGCGAAUGCUGAAAAUCGAACAGUACAGCUGCAAAAAACACACUUAGCUCCAGAAGUCUCACUUUCAAGCUUCUAUCAGGCGCAGGUUACAAGCAGCAAACAUAGCCUCCGAUGAGACAGUAGCUCCUUCAUUUGGAUCUUUCGUGCUUGGUGACCCAGGAGCAUGUCUGCUGGAAUGUCGGUGAAGUUAUGUCAUGCCCCCGCCUCGUUCUAAACUGACUGGCUGCAGAGUCAGUCACAAGAGCUGGUGGAGGUGGUGACGUAGUGGUACUGUCAAGUGAUGAGUUGAGCUAGAGGCCAUGUUGAUAUCCUGGGGAUAUGGUUCAAAUCCCACCAUGGCUGAUGGCCAAAUUCAAUAAAAGUCUGGAAUAUUUAAGAAAUAAACAAA
Molecule: long non-coding RNA, 929 nt
Organism: Rhincodon typus (whale shark)
Lineage: Eukaryota; Metazoa; Chordata; Chondrichthyes; Orectolobiformes; Rhincodontidae
Exons: 2
Source: RefSeq, a predicted model, not a curated record